RNAcentral lists this ribosomal RNA (497 nucleotides) under uncultured bacterium. Its description in RNAcentral is "partial 16S ribosomal RNA". It matches the Rfam family "Bacterial small subunit ribosomal RNA", at positions 28 to 507 of the family's 1533-position model. The record is from RNAcentral.
GACGAACGCUGGCGGCGUGCCUAAUACAUGCAAGUUGAGCGAUGAAGAUUGGUGCUUGCACCAAUUUGAAGAGCAGCGAACGGGUGAGUAACGCGUGGGGAAUCUGCCUUUGAGCGGGGGACAACAUUUGGAAACGAAUGCUAAUACCGCAUAACAACUUUAAACAUAAGUUUUAAGUUUGAAAGAUGCAAUUGCAUCACUCAAAGAUGAUCCCGCGUUGUAUUAGCUAGUUGGUGAGGUAAAGGCUCACCAAGGCGAUGAUACAUAGCCGAACUGAGAGGGGGAUAGGCAACAUUGGGACUGAGACACGGCCCAAACUCCUACGGGAGGCAGCAGUAGGGAAUCUUCGGCAAUGGAAGAAAGUCUGACCGAGCAACGCCGCGUGAGUGAAGAAGGUUUUCGGAUCGUAAAAAUCUGUUGGUAGAGAAGAACGUUGGUGAGAGUGGAAAGCUCAUCAAGUGACGGUAACUACCCAGAAAGGGACGGCUAACUACGUG